CCAGGUACGUAGACCUUUAAGUGUUUAUUACAUGAUAGUUAAAUAUUUACAAACAUAUAAACUAUCUAUUACAUCAUAUUCCAACUACUCAGUAGCUUUUCCUUUUCCUUUGUCUCUAAUAGACCCCUCUGCUAGAGCCUGAUUAGCUGAAAACAUUUAUAACAAAGUAAGAAUGAGCAUUUAAUUGCUUAGCAAGUAAUAGCAUUCUUUAAUAUCUUAACAAUAAAUAAAUAUUUUCUUUGAGGCAUGCUUUGACAGUGAAACAAAACUGUAAAGCAAUUAAAUCAUGAAUCAUUCAUAUUCUGGGAAUAUCAUAUCAAUAUCAAAUUGCUGAGAGAUUAUAAGACCAUGAACAAGCCUUUUAUUUUCUUGAAAAGGUUCUAUCAGAGAUUUAUCUGUAAACCGUCUUAUCUUACGGGCACGGUGGGUGAUCAGCCCUUUAUGCCAUGUAUUGAUCAAUACUAUCUUAUCUAGAAUAAUUUUUAUAUUCAACGUCACCACUUCCAGAGUGCAAUAAAAAUAUCCCAUUUCAGGGUUUGUUCAUUCUCAGUCUAGAGUCCAAACUAUAACAAUAUAGCUGGAUAGCUCAAAUCAUUGCACAAUAAUAUUCAAGGCUUAUUAUAAAGAAAUUAAAAUAUUUUACAUGUGUCUGACCAGAAAAAAUAGUUUAGACUUACCUUCAACCUGUUCAUGCAUAUUGAAUUUCAUUCGAUAUACAUGACAGUACAUUAACUAUUCUUUUGAAGCUAAUUGGAAUAAAAAGGUCUUAAUACCUUGUAUUAUUCAUAAAUAAAUGGGAGACGGUUCAAAAUUCAGAGAACUUAUCCACAUAUGAAUAAUUCCAUAAUACUUGCUCAAUGAAGAGUAAGAUUUAGAUACUUUCCUUGUUCGUAGACUAUUGAUAAAAUUCAGCUUAACUUGUUCUCACAAAGCCUACACAAUUAUAUUUGCAUGUACAAAUAUAUUAGCCAAACAUCCAAGUCAUAUAGCUUGUAUAUUCACAUAUCACAUAAUCACAUUGAUUAUAUUUUUAGUUUGUGUUGUUACUUUUGAAAUACUUGUACACAUUUUUCAAAUACCUCAUCCAUGCUCUCAAAAUAGCCAUUUUUAUCUUUAAUAAAGUUCAGUAUGCUUAUCACAUGUAACCACAUUACAAUAAUUAUUUACACUCUAUUAGUAACUUUAGUAUAUGAGCAUUUCAUGCUUUUGUUACUUAAUUUCUAGCACACAAGGUGUCUUCAUAGCUUAGUUCAUGUUUUGAAAGUAUUUCCCACAUGUAUGGUUAAUGUAUAGUCUUUCCCAUGAUUUAUAAUUUCAUUUUUGUAUGCCAGUGUUACAUAAUCUUGUUUUCCUUCGUAAUGUCAAAACAGUCCCCUUUUCGACUAAGUGCAUCAAACAACCCUUUUUUAUUGAAUAACAGUUCCAACUUGACUAGCCAUGUGGGAAGCCAAGCUUUACCUGGCCCAGUGGGGCUUAGCCAAGCUAAGUGUGGCCUAGGUUGGCCUCGCGGCCCCAAACAUACCUAACAGCCCCUAACCUUGCCACACUUCUGUUUGAUAGCUUAAUUUUAUAACUUGCUAAUUCAUUAUAGUUUCUACAUAUGCGAGCAUCAACAUUGAAUUGGAGAUUUGAUGUAAAUCAUAUAUACUUCUUUAUUUAGAAAGUUUUAAACCCGUUUAUAUUAGAUUUUGGAACCCAAAAUAGGUGAUACCUUUGCUUAUAAGAAGGAACCAACAAUUAAGCAUCUCUAGCCAUAUAAGUGCACUAACUGAAAGCUAAUGUAAAGCUCCCAGCCCAUGCCAAUUAUGUUCACUGCUGCUGCCAAGGCAGUAGCCCUGUUCCCGUUCUCCUUCAACUCUAGACUUACACAUCCCAAAGGAAAGUCUAUAUACAUAAUUAUAAAACCAACCAAAACCAUACUUGAUAAUUAGUUUCAUAAAAUUAUGUUAGUUUGUCAAAAUGGGUUGCCCAACUGUUCACCAACUGCUGCUGCUGGUACUUGCUGCUACCACUAGCCAGCAGCUUUUCCCUUUGAUUCAUGCUUUGCUACACUUUUAUCCCAACAUUCUUGUUUUGUUUGAGUUGGGUUUUAAAGCUAAUAUAGAUGAUACACUUGCCUAAUAACGAGAUACAAUAGCUAAGCAAUUUGGUUGGCUCAAAUGAGUUGACUGAGAGCCAAGGAAGCCUCCAGCCAUUGCCCCAUCAUGGCCACUGCUGCUAUCCGCUACUGGUACACGCUGCUGCCCCUAGGCAACAACUCUUUCCCCCUCCCGCGUGGUCACUUUGCGGUCUUGUAUAAUUUAGCUCAUAUACCAGAUUGUGACAAAUUUUAUAUAGGUUGUGUAUCAUAUAAAGUACUGUAUUUAGAAGUUCUGAUCACUCCAUUUCAGAUUCCAUAGGCCACUCAAAACAGUGGCCGAAACUGACCCAUUAAAUAAAUUUUUGAAUUUUCAUUGAAGCUUAAAAUUGAGUUUUUUUCUAACUUGACAUACCCAAAUACUCUAAUUAUCAUCAUGUAUGGUAUACAUAUCCAGCCUAGGCUUUAAUUCUAUCAAAUAAUAAAUUUUUAAGUAAAACAGUCCAUUAGGGACUUUUAUCGAACAGUUAGUGUGCAUAGUUUUAAGACAUCUUUUGCAUAGCUAUUGGUUUGCUCUUCAAUCCCAUUUUUAUCUCCCUUAUGCCUUCACACAUCCAACUUAUCUCCUUUAUACAAAUUCCAGCCAUAACAGUCUGAUAUACACAGUUAAACUCAACAUAUUAGUUUGUAAACUAAAUAAUUUCUUAACUUGAUCAUCUUCAAUUUACUUUAAGUUUCCAUAACAUAUCCUUUGCUACAUGUGAUACCAAUACUCUGUAAGUAAUCAGUGGUUAUAUAAUCUAACAUCACACACAGUUAUUUCACAGUUAAACAUAUUAUUAACCAACUAAUGGAGUAAUUCUCAUAUAGCACAAUAUAGCAAAGGAGUAAUUACCUCUUAAUUGUUUAAUUAAAUAUGCUGAGUUCUUCAAUGUUCUUAAUCACUACUCUCCCAUCUCCGGUUAGUCACAGUUCAGCUCUCCAAGACCUUAGUAUUGUUGAACUUCAGUAUAUAAGAAUGGGAGAUGAAAGGAUUUUGAGCAAGAAGAAAUUGAGAUUAUGGUUUAGGGAAAACAAGACUGAAAGUUUGAAGUCUUGAUUUUAUAAAAGAACUCAGCCUUGCUCUCCAAGGAUUUUGCGUGCAGGUUAAUUACUCACAUAGGCUUGAUGACUCCCUUGCCUAUAUUUCUUAUUGAAUGCCAGCACCAGCUAAAUACUCAGAUGAUACAACAACUCAUGCUUGCUUAUAUAAGACUUGCUUGUCUUGUUUUUUUUAAAACCAAUACUGACCCCUUUACCCUGCAUUCCUUAUAAAUAAGCAUCUCAUAUAAAAAAAUCCAUACCUUUAUUAAUACUAGUUGAUAGCCCGUGCAAUGCACGGGCUAGUUUAAAAAAUAAAUUGACUAAUUUAAACCUGAAUGUAUCUAACAAAAAAUACAUUCAUUAUAGCAUAAGAAAUGAAACAUGAAACAAAUACUAAGAAUGGAAUGAAAUAGUGAGUGAAAUGAUUCAUUCUAAACCUAGCUAGAAUGAGCCAUUCUAUACCAUUUCUCAAAUAAUAAAAUUCAUAAAUUUGGAGAGAAUGAAAAUGGUUCAUUCAAUGCCCUCCUUAAUUCCGACAAUCCAAAUGUAGCAUAAAUCUCUUUCAACUCGCGUAUAAUGCUAUUCAACUUCAGAAAAAUGAAAAGCAAAGAAACAUUCGUCAAUGUAGGAAAAUGAUAUCUAAAAGCACAAAAGGGAAAAGAAAAACAACCAUGUUAACUUAUUACACUGUUGGAGGAUGAAUACAUUCUAGGUAUUAUCAAAUACCAAGUUAUAUUUCUUUUUUGGCAUUUCAUCAAACAUGUAAUGUGCACUUUUCCAAAUAUUUGAAAGGAUAUAAUCAACUUGUUGCCCAAUUGCCCAGAAAGCCUAUUAUCUCUAAGAGUCAAUGUAGUCAAAUUUGUUGCCAAAACAGAUCAUCCCGUAUAAUACCUGAGAGAUAGUUUGAAUCAAGGUCUAGGUGUUCCACUGAGCUGCAUUUCUCAAGCUCCAAUAUAAUAUUUCCAUUGAAAUAGUUCACUGCUAAAUUAAUAACUUGAAUACGGGGUGAGUUGUUACAUAUACCAUCAGGAACCAAACACUGAAAAUAUUCUGAGAAAUGUUGAAAACUCGAAUUGAUGGCAGAUCGAUGCUAAUUGGAAACAACCCAGAAAAGACAUUUUUGUUCAAGUCCAAAAACUCUAAAUUGGGCAAAUGCAACAGUUAUGUUGGAAAUGAGCCUUUGAGCACAUUGUGGGAUGAAUUAAGGGAAAUUGAUUCUGAGAGCUUGCCCAUUAAUCUUUCCCUUCCAAGUUCUAACUUAACUGCAAGUGAAGCCUACCCAAUCACAGUAAUUGGGGGGAAAAGAUGAAUUUGCAUUCAAUUUCCACACAUCACUAAUUGAGUUUAAACCAUUUAUCGAACCCUCCAAUGCCUUCAAAUAAUUUGAAUUGCAUGUCAAGUUCUGAGCAUUCAAAACCUCAACUUGUAAAGAACCCCCAAAAAGAAUCAAAAUUAUCCAUAAUUCCAUAAUACCAAUCUCAGAAAAAUAAUCUCAAAUACAUGAAGAAAGAAAAGGGCCUAGUGAAAUCAGCCUUACAUCAAGAUUGAACCUUUAACCAUCUUCCAGAGCAAAAGAAAAAUGAAUAAAGACACCUAAAAAAUAUUUAAAAAAUUGGGGGCUUGUUGGAACAAAAAAUGAAUAUACAGAAAGACAAAGUACUGAUCACCUGAAAACUGCACGCUUUGUUGGCUCAAAAGAUAAGAUUUUGUUUCUGCUUGAACUUCCCGUUCUUGCAAUUAAGAAAAAGAAAACAGAGAAGAAAAAAAUGAGAGACAUAAAAGUAGAUAGGGAACCCCAAAUCACAUAGCAAAAUCAAGUAUUUACCUCGUCCUAGUUGUCGCUGAUGACUUCAAUCUCAUCCUCAUUCCUCAUUCAUCAGUUAGAGGAAUUCAAGCCAGCUUGUAACUCUUUUUUCAUGAAUAUGGUCUGCAUCUUUUUUGGGUGAAUUGUCUUGAUCAACAACUUUACUAUUCCG
Molecule: long non-coding RNA, 5136 nt
Filed under: Panax ginseng (ginseng)
Lineage: Eukaryota; Viridiplantae; Streptophyta; Magnoliopsida; Apiales; Araliaceae
Description: long non-coding RNA (PGIN_LNC008399)
Source: RNAcentral